RNAcentral lists this transfer RNA (67 nucleotides) under Marmota monax (woodchuck). Its description in RNAcentral is "tRNA.Thr". The record is from RNAcentral. Lineage: Eukaryota; Metazoa; Chordata; Mammalia; Rodentia; Sciuridae.
GGUUAGGGCUCAGUGGUAGAGUGCUCACCUAGUAUGUGUGAGGUACUGGGUUCGAUCCUCAGCACCA